RNAcentral lists this ribosomal RNA (417 nucleotides) under Triticum aestivum (bread wheat). RNAcentral's name for it is "partial small subunit ribosomal RNA". Lineage: Eukaryota; Viridiplantae; Streptophyta; Magnoliopsida; Poales; Poaceae. The record is from RNAcentral.
AUGCAUGUGCCAACAGUGUGUACACAUAUUCUUCAAGAUCUAUUUCUUCAGAUUGUCUACCUUAAUUCUUUUGUACGUGAAUCAAGGGCUGUACUGUUGCAUCAGCUCUCCAAGAAGCACUCUCACCACCCUUUCCGUAGACUGCCGGGACUCCCUGUUGCAGCAGUAUUCCAUCCAACUCAAAAGAUGUUCUUUGUUGCCACUAAGAAAUUUGUUCAGAUUUAUGAUCUUCAAAAGGCAGAGGUAGUCAAGAAGCUGGAGUCAGGUCUCCAUGAAAUUUCCUCUAUGCUACUUUACCAGUUGGUUCAUAUCGGCUUUGUUAUUCUAAGCUGUAAACCAGUUGUUAGAUUACUGGUAGUGCAAUACUGUUUGUUGGAUUUCCUUACUAAUGGCUCUGCAAUUCUUUCAUGUAGGUGA